RNAcentral lists this long non-coding RNA (358 nucleotides) under Jatropha curcas. Its description in RNAcentral is "long non-coding RNA (JCUR_LNC001082)". Lineage: Eukaryota; Viridiplantae; Streptophyta; Magnoliopsida; Malpighiales; Euphorbiaceae. The record is from RNAcentral.
CCCUUGACAGUGAUUAAUGAAAUAAAUCAAUCCAGGGGGAGAAACUCUGCCUGGAAUCAUUAAGAUCAAUAAUAAAUUUUACUUAAAUAAAGAAAAUCAAAUCUAAUAUUAUAAACUGGAGUUGAAUUGAAGCUACAUCAUAUCCCUAGUAAAAAGAUUUAUUUUGACAUAGUAAAUAAAUUAAACUCAAUUAAACUUGUAAAUAAUCUCAUAAUGAAUAAUCAACAAGAAAAGAGUUUAAAAAUAAAAACUAGUGAACGAUUGGCUUGAGCAGCUUCCUUGAAUCUUUGCACCAAUUUGAAUACUUGAAGUCUUAAAGAGAGAGAAACUACGUAUAGUGGAGAACAAUAGAACAAAA